This 446-nucleotide ribosomal RNA is filed under the name uncultured bacterium. RNAcentral's name for it is "partial 16S ribosomal RNA". It matches the Rfam family "Bacterial small subunit ribosomal RNA", at positions 338 to 795 of the family's 1533-position model. The record is from RNAcentral.
CCUACGGGAGGCUGCAGUCGAGAAUCAUUCACAAUGGGGGAAACCCUGAUGGUGCGACGCCGCGUGGGGGAAUGAAGGUCUUCGGAUUGUAAACCCCUGUCAUGUGGGAGCAAAUUAAAAAGAUAGUACCACAAGAGGAAGAGACGGCUAACUCUGUGCCAACAGCCGCGGUAAUACAGAGGUCUCAAGCGUUGUUCGGAAUCACUGGGCGUAAGGCGUGCGUAGGCUGUUUCGUAAGUCGUGUGUGAAAGGCGCGGGCUCAACCCGCGGACGGCACAUGAUACUGCGAGACUAGAGUAAUGGAGGGGGAACCGGAAUUCUCGGUGUAGCAGUGAAAUGCGUAGAUAUCGAGAGGAACACUCGUGGCGAAGGCGGGUUCCUGGACAUUAACUGACGCUGAGGCACGAAGGCCAGGGGAGCGAAAGGGAUUAGAUACCCGUGUAGUC